AUUGAACGCUGGCGGAAUGCUUUACACAUGCAAGUCGAACGAUGAACCUUGGCUUGCUAAGGGGAUUAGUGGCGAACGGGUGAGUAAUAUAUCGGAACGUGCCUUGUAAUGGGGGAUAACUAGUCGAAAGAUUAGCUAAUACCGCAUACGCCCUGAAGGGGAAAGUAGGGGAUCUUCGGAGCUUACGUUAUAAGAGCGGCCGAUAUCUGGUUAGCUAGUUGGUGGGGUAAUGGCCUACCAAGGCUUCGAUCAGUAGCUGGUCUGAGAGGACGACCAGCCACACUGGAACUGAGACACGGUCCAGACUCCUACGGGAGGCAGCAGUGGGGAACUUUGGACAAUGGGCGAAAGCCUGAUCCAGCCAUUCCGCGUGAGUGAAGAAGGCCUUCGGGUUGUAAAGCUCUUUCGCAAGGGAAGAAAACUUACAUUCUAAUAAAGUGUGAGGCUGACGGUACCUUGAUAAGAAGCACCGGCUAACUACGUGCCAGCCGCCGCGGUAA
Molecule: ribosomal RNA, 500 nt
Filed under: uncultured bacterium
Lineage: Bacteria
Description: partial 16S ribosomal RNA
Rfam family: Bacterial small subunit ribosomal RNA
Source: RNAcentral